Molecule: signal recognition particle RNA, 264 nt
Filed under: Oceanivirga miroungae
Lineage: Bacteria; Fusobacteriati; Fusobacteriota; Fusobacteriia; Fusobacteriales; Leptotrichiaceae
Description: Bacterial large signal recognition particle RNA
Rfam family: Bacterial large signal recognition particle RNA
About the family: The signal recognition particle (SRP) is a universally conserved ribonucleoprotein involved in the co-translational targeting of proteins to membranes.
Source: Rfam by way of RNAcentral
CCAUACAAAUCGGGGAGCUAGCGGUGCCUUGUAAUCCACAAACCGCUUUAGUGGAGAUUAUGUUAAUUUUGAGGGUGAUUUUAGUAUGACGCCUUAUGCAAUGGUGUUGAGAGUUUAGUCCUAUAUUGUAGAUAUUAGGUGAACCAUGUCAGGUUGGGAACAAAGCAGCAUUAAGUCUAGAUAUCUAGGUUUAUGGGGUAGCUAAACUUGAGUCAAAGUAUAAUGAAACGAGUGGUAGAAUUUAUUCGAUUUAUUAGCGUAUGG